Molecule: ribosomal RNA, 454 nt
Filed under: uncultured bacterium
Lineage: Bacteria
Description: bacterial SSU rRNA
Rfam family: Bacterial small subunit ribosomal RNA
Source: RNAcentral
ACUCCUACGGGAGGCAGCAGUGGGGAAUAUUGCACAAUGGGGGAAAGACCCUGAUGCAGCGACGCAGCGUGCGGGAUGACGGCCUUCGGGUUGUAAACCGCUUUCAGCAGGGAAGAAGCGCAAGUGACGGUACCUGCAGAAGAAGUACCGGCUAACUACGUGCCAGCAGCCGCGGUAAUACGUAGGGUACGAGCGUUGUCCGGAAUUAUUGGGCGUAAAGAGCUCGUAGGUGGUUGGUCACGUCUGCUGUGGAAACGCAACGCUUAACGUUGCGCGUGCAGUGGGUACGGGCUGACUAGAGUGCAGUAGGGGAGUCUGGAAUUCCUGGUGUAGCGGUGAAAUGCGCAGAUAUCAGGAGGAACACCGGUGGCGAAGGCGGGACUCUGGGCUGUAACUGACACUGAGGAGCGAAAGCAUGGGGAGCGAACAGGAUUAGAUACCCUGGUAGGCGUAG